This 429-nucleotide ribosomal RNA is filed under the name Chloroflexota bacterium. RNAcentral's name for it is "Chloroflexi bacterium partial 16S ribosomal RNA". It matches the Rfam family "Bacterial small subunit ribosomal RNA", at positions 355 to 776 of the family's 1533-position model. Lineage: Bacteria; Bacillati; Chloroflexota. The record is from RNAcentral.
UGGGGAAUAUUGCACAAUGGGCGCAAGCCUGAUGCAGCCAUGCCGCGUGUAUGAAGAAGGCCUUCGGGUUGUAAAGUACUUUCAGCGGGGAGGAAGGGAGUAAAGUUAAUACCUUUGCUCAUUGACGCUACCCGCAGAAGAAGCACCGGCUAACUCCGUGCCAGCAGCCGCGGUAAUACGGAGGGUGCAAGCGUUAAUCGGAAUUACUGGGCGUAAAGCGCACGCAGGCGGUUUGUUAAGUCAGAUGUGAAAUCCCCGGGCUCAACCUGGGAACUGCAUCUGAUACUGGGAAGCUGGCGUCUCGGAGAGGGGGGUGGAAUUCCAAGUGUAGCGGUGAAAUGCGUAGAAAUCUUGAUGAAUACCGGUGGCGAAGGCGGCCCCCUGGACGAAGACUGACGCUCAGGUGCGAAAGCGGGGGGAGCAAACAGG